GAUGAACGCUGGCGGCGUGCCUAAUACAUGCAAGUCGAGCGAACAGAUGAGGAUCUUGCUCCUCUGACGUUAGCGGCGGACGGGUGAGUAACACGUGGAUAACCUACCUAUAAGACUGGUAUAACUUCGGGAAACCGGAGCUAAUACCGGAUAAUAUAUUGAACCGCAUGGUUCAAUAGUGAAAGACGGUUUUGCUGUCACUUAUACAUGGAUCCUCGCCGCAUUAGCCAGUUGGUAAGGUAACGGCUUACCAAGGCAACGAGGCGUAGCCGACCUGAGAGGGUGAGAGGCCACACUGGCACUGAGAGACGGUCCAGACUCCUACGGGAGGAAGCAGUAGGGAAUCUUCCGCAAUGGGCGAAAGCCUGACGGAGCAACGCCGCGUGAGUGAUGAAGGUCUUCGGAUCGUAAAACUCUGUUAUUCGGGAAGAACAAAUGUGUAAGUAACUAUGCACGUCUUGACGGUACCUAAUCAGAAAGCCACGGCUAACUACGUG
This 497-nucleotide ribosomal RNA is filed under the name uncultured bacterium. Its description in RNAcentral is "partial 16S ribosomal RNA". It matches the Rfam family "Bacterial small subunit ribosomal RNA", at positions 28 to 507 of the family's 1533-position model. The record is from RNAcentral.